GCUUCACCGUGUCCCGCCCUUCCCUACCGCACCUUCGUCGUCUCCACCUCAAUCACCAUGGCGGCUUCACCAUGUCCCCGCAAUCACCGCAGCGGCCAGCCAGAUCCCACCUCGGCUACUCCCCAGCACAGUCGGAGUUGCGCCCGCGUCCCCCAAUACCCGCCCCGGCUCCUUGCCGCAAUCACUGCAGCAGCCAGAUCCGACCUCGCCCGACCCAUGGCGCGCGCCCGAGCUGCCCGCGUCCCCUCAAAAUCCACUCCGGAUCCUCUCCCUUCCCCACAGUGCGCGUCGGCAUCUGACUGUGCUUUCCCAAAUUUGGAGAUCUUCCAUCGUCGCCGGAGCGUGCAACCUCAAUCUUCACCACAUCGCGGCGAUUGCGGACGCGCGCGCCCUCGACCCAUGGCGCCCGAUCUACCCGCGGUCCACCAAAACCCGCCCUGCCUCCUCCCCGCCACAUCGUGACGCCACACCAUCGACAACCUGCCUGCUCUUCUGGGAAACGAUGCUUAUUCUUCUAAUCCAGAGAACCCAAAAGAAAUUCAGAGACCUGCUGAUGUGGUUUCUCUAGGGAGCGAUUCAUUCCCUGCAUUUCCAGGCAUAUAUGGCAAAGCUCUGACGCCUUUGCUUCCCGAAGAUAUUGGUGCUACCAUAGCUCAGCAGCCGCCUACAGAAGAGACCCAGUCCACUGAUGUGGAGACUUCUGGUACAAAGUAUAGAAAGUGGGCAUAUAUCAUCACGAUUCCAGCUGAAGUAUUGCUCAUUAGUCUGAUAGUUCUGAUAGUUUUGGUUCUGCGGAAGCAAGGGCCUGCACCAGUAGCCCCUUUGAGAACAGGGCUAAGUGCCCUAUUCAGAAGGCCCUCGUAUCAGGUGCCCAAAAGCUGAACAAAAAGAGCAUCUAUUUCAAAUAUUCCAAUUACCUUUCUCAGAGCAAGCCUAUGAGCAAUAUUUGGACCUCAGUGAAAUUUAGGACAGAGUCAACCUAACUAACACAAAAGAUAUAUGGACUUAUAUCUAGAGAUCAGAUACUUACUCAACGCAGAAGACCUACAGGCAACUAAUUGGCCACUCCAAUGUUCAUAUUAUUUAUAAGUGGCUCUAGAAAAACAAAUGUCAACCCAAGCAUAAAGUCUUCUUCUCGUUGUGGCUCAAAAAUAGGCUAAACACAAGGAAUACGCUGCGAAGAAAAAAUAUGGCACUGGAAUCAUAUACAUGUGAAAACUGCAUUUGGCAAAAGGAGGAAACCCUUUAUAAUCUAUUUCUCAGGUGUAACUUUGCAAAAGCAUGUUGGAAUUCCAUUGGCAUAAACCCUCCCAGAAUUGCCCAGCCAGAAGAAGCGUCCGCUAAUCUCAAGCAGCAACCUAAUGUGCCUUUCUCCAUGGAAAUAAUCAUCCUAAUGACAUGGAGCAUCCGGAAAUGUCAGAAUGAAUGGAUCUUUGAAAAUCAAGACCCAACAGUUCAACACUGUAAAAAUGAGUUCAAAAAAGAAAUGCUUUUGGUUAUCCACAGAGCAAGAGGAAAAUAUGACACCUCGAUUCCAGAUUGGCUUCAUGAGAGACAUAUUUAAUUCUUUUAGUGCCUUCAAUCCUUUACCAUCCCCCUAGCAUCUGAUACACUUGUAGCUAGCUGCAGAUUUUGACUCUUCACUCUAUUGUAAUUAACCAUUUUAAUACAAAAUUUAUAGUAGGGGUUCCCCCUCCUGGACUUUCAAAAAAAAGCUAAACAGAGCUGAGUUUGAAGUCGCUUGUGAAGAUUUUAGCAACAUCAUCAACAAUUUUCCUACAUGUACCAUGUUUAAGGGCAUAUUAUCAGGCGGGGUCGAGAUCGACACUGUCUCCGCUGUCA
Long non-coding RNA from Zea mays, 1842 nucleotides. RefSeq lists it as uncharacterized. The record is from RefSeq and is a predicted model, not a curated record. Lineage: Eukaryota; Viridiplantae; Streptophyta; Magnoliopsida; Poales; Poaceae. The transcript is spliced from 2 exons.